Molecule: long non-coding RNA, 1261 nt
Filed under: Mytilus galloprovincialis (Mediterranean mussel)
Lineage: Eukaryota; Metazoa; Mollusca; Bivalvia; Mytilida; Mytilidae
Source: RNAcentral
GGUGGAUGUAUAGUUCCUGAGAAAAAUGUGACGAAAGUUUCAUGGGACGGACUGACUGACGGACGGACGGACGGACUGACGGACUGACGGACGGACGGACAGACAGAGGUAAAACAGUAUACCCCCCCUUUUUUAAAGCGGGGGUAUAAUAUUUGUAUACUAAGAUGUGGUAACCAUCUGUUUUACCUUUGUUAACUGUUUACUGUGUACUUGUUUUUAAUUGUCAGUUCAUCUCUCUGUAUGUCAGUUCUCGCAUCACAGAACAUGAAGUGAAGGAUCUCCCAAAAUUAACCUUGGAAUGAAUCAAAAAUUCAUAUAAGGAAUCGAUUGUAAGAACAUACUCACCCCUUCUUGGCCAAUGAAAAGUCAGUUUUACACCCUCUAAUUUUCAUAGUACAUGGUUUUUUUUCCAUGCACUAUGAAAUGCUAUACAUGAAUGACUUUUCAUUGUCAGUUAAUUAUGACAGUGAACUCUUAAUUACUGCCUAACGAAGUGUACAAUCCCCUGAGGCAUUUUCUAUUGGAAUAGAACCUACUGAUUAAAAUGAAAGAACAAAAAUUAAAACAAAAAAUUCUGAAUUUUGCAAAUUUUCAUGCAUUUUCUAACAAUACAGAUAAAUCGAAUAAACAAAAACAAUUUGGGUAAGGAUGUAGCUAAAAAAAAUCUGAUUUAAUUUAUAUACCUGACAUUUGAGGGAUUUUUUUCUCAAGAAAAAUGCCAGACUGCUGAUAAAUAAAGCAAAGAAUUGUUUUAUGAGAAACACAAAUACAUGUCAAUUUAUCAAUAAAAAGUAAGCAUUUAAUGUUGAAUGGUCUGAAUUUAAAUAUUUAUAAAGAGAGUUUUAUAUCUAUAAAAAAAAAAAGAAAAAAAAAGCGUGAAUUUAUAUACCAAUGUGUUGCUUUUUUAAAAUAAAAAACCUCAAAAUAAAUAUGUAUUAAAUUUUACCUAAAGCAGAAAAAAAAAACAAUUUAUCCAUCCGGUCCUCACAAACUAUGUCUGAGCCUUUUCAUUUCAUCAAUUGAAAUGAUGAUUACCUAUGUUUUACAUUUAGUUCAUUAUGAAAAGUGAACUCGUAUUCAGGUUUGAAUAUUACAAUGAGAAAGGAUAAUUUUAUAAGGUCACUCGAAAUUGUGAAUAUGUUCUAAAUUGGUCAGACAAUACUUGGUCUUAAAUUUUCAUAAAACAUAACGAAGUAUUGUCUAACCUAUAAAUGGCAUGAGUAAUAGUUAUAUUUAUACCUUAGCUCAAUCUUAGUACAAC